AGCGAGGUCGGAGUGAAAAUGACCAAGUCCAACCGCAAGAAAAAAUAUAUAAACAUCUAACUGGGAAGGCUACUGGCUCGGUCAAACUACAUCCUCCAUGACUUUUAUCAAUCCCCCAGAGAUUUAUAACAUCCGGGGAUCCAUUCCAGAGCAGCGAAAAUUUCAACACAAAUAUCAUUUUUAUUACUUGUUAUCAUGUAUUAUUCAUAUAGUUAUGUAAGAGAUCAUGAAUAAAUGUUAUGCUCUUUGUAUA
Molecule: long non-coding RNA, 253 nt
Organism: Aedes aegypti (yellow fever mosquito)
Lineage: Eukaryota; Metazoa; Arthropoda; Insecta; Diptera; Culicidae
Exons: 2
Source: RefSeq, a predicted model, not a curated record